UGAGGAUGAACUGUUCAUAUUUGCAAUUUGGGGAGGGUUGGUAUUGGUCUAAGAUUGAUCAGUUUAAUGGAGAAAGGUGGGUUCAUUGCCCUAUUUCCUCCAUUGAUUGUAUUGGUGAUGGCCUGAAAUUCGAUAGGCAAGCAAAUUAGGGUUUAUUUCAGGCGGAUGCAUCUGGGGUUGUUGGUUUGAGUUUUGAGAGAGAUUGGUAACAAUUGUCAAGGGAUUUCUAUUAACAUGAUUUACGAGCACCACGUUUCCUGUAUAACCCACAUAUCCUGGGUUCAUGAGAUAAGAGGGUUUGGAGAU
Molecule: long non-coding RNA, 306 nt
Filed under: Amborella trichopoda
Lineage: Eukaryota; Viridiplantae; Streptophyta; Magnoliopsida; Amborellales; Amborellaceae
Description: long non-coding RNA (ATRI_LNC003399)
Source: RNAcentral